UUGACAUACAAUCAAAACUCC
Non-coding RNA from Caenorhabditis elegans, 21 nucleotides. The record is from Ensembl. Lineage: Eukaryota; Metazoa; Nematoda; Chromadorea; Rhabditida; Rhabditidae.